UGUAAAAUUUGUAUUACAGGGCGAUGAAGAUUUUCCCAAUGGUCAUGUCAAUGAUUCUACCAAACCGUUUAUGAAUGGUCAUGCAAAUGGUUCAAAACCUUUCGUUAACGGUCAUCUUCAUAUAACUGAAAAUCCACAAUAUUCAGCAAUCGAACGUAAGAACCAGGUUGCGGAAAAAUCGAAAUAUACGCCCUUGAAGCACUUGCAGGAAGACUCAAAUUCAAAUAUCAACUCUUCGAAGUUCUAUGAUUUACAAAGGCUCUUCGAGAAUUCCAAAAAAUCCAAAUCUUCCAAUUAUCACCAAUGCAAUCCCCAUUUUGAUCAAAAUGGAUAUGAAUUGUGUAGUUCAUGCGAAGAUGUCAAUUCAUGUGAAUCCAGUUGGGAUAAUUCACUAGAUGCAACCCAGAUGACAUCAUUGAAUUAUUCAGAUAUUCCUAUCAUGGGCAAUAACCGAAGAAAAUCACUUAUUUCGGGUCCUAAUGGGUAAUUUCUAAACAGAAUGAGACGAAAUCUUUCAACAUUAAUUACUCCUGAUCAAACGUUUAUUUUUGUUUCAUUUUACUGACUCAUUUAACAUUUCUCCAAAGGAAAUAUUACAGCUUUACAAAAGUUGAUAAAUAGAAUGGAACUGACAUUUUUUUUUCAAUUUUCUGAAACCAAGACAAAGCCGUGAUAAGCAAUGAGAUAUUUUACUUUUGGUUUUGUAAAUAAUUAUUGCUCAAUAACAACAAUAUAUUCAUAAACAGAAGUUCAUAUCAACUUAGUUCUAGGAUUUGUUAAAAUUUCAUUGUUUUACUGUAAAAAAACUGAGUUGGUAUGAACUAAAUAUAAUUGUCUAUAGUUGAAAGUCUGGUACCUGAAAUUUACUUAGGUGUAGUUAGUUUUAAGAGAGCAUUCAAGUUAUUUUUAUCAUGUAGAGAUAAUUGGAAUAAUAGACUGAUUUCAUUUCGCAUAUAUUUCUUGAUAUGUAUUUUUAGUAGGUUGUUAAUUGGUACUACAAACAACCUCAUACCAUUUAACAAUCUGCAAAAUUCGCCACAUUUCAUUAGAUUUUCAUUUUGUAGCAAGAUACAUUUUUUUCUGAAACUCUUCAUAUUGAUGUUUCCCAGAUGUUACCACCAACUUUGGCAGUUGAGCACAGCUUUCUAGUGGACAUGACUUGUUUUCAAUUGUUGAUCUGAUUAGAAGAGUGAAAUGAAAUUUUCAGGAGUAAGUGCAAAUUUUUCGGGAAAAAUUCAUAUUGCUGGUAUUCAUAAUCUUAAUAAAAGUUGACAAGUCAUUUUUUAAUCUCAACAUUUUCUAAGACUGAGAAUAUUUUUGAAUAGUUUGUUUUAUGAACUGACUAGGUCUAUAGUUUGGCCUGUUUUCAUGAUCGAAUUCAUUAAUAUUUGGGUAAUUGUGAAUAUAUCACAAUUUGUUUUCAAAAUAGACUCAAUUACCAAUAGAAUCAGUCAAGUGAGGUGAAAUAGUAAAUUCAAAUUUAGAUGUUUGGGAGAAUUUUUCAUAUAUCAUUUUCAUAUAAUUCAUUUUUUCAGUCCAGUUUACUGUUUUUCUCAUAUCUCAAUUAAGGCAUAUAGACUGAAUAAUUUGUGCUUGCUGAAUUAAAGUGCAUAUAUUUGAACGAGAAUUGGAAACAACAAUAAACUACUUCUGUCCUCACAAAGGAUGUGCAAGUAAAAAUCUACAAAUGGUUUAUGCUAUAUUCUGAUGACUCUAUAUAUGGUUAACGUUUGUAUAAUAUGUAUGAAUGUGUGGUGAAUGGCAGUACAUUAUAAUAUGAAAAUUACAUGUAUAGUUGUUAAUUAUGAUGUUACAUGUUACGUAAGUAAUCGGAAAAACAAACAGUGUUGUAUAUUCUAUAAUACACGUUACCACGUAUAUUGUUCAAUUAAAAUAUUGACCCAAAGAAUAAUUCGUUAUUUAAAGAAAAAUGCAGAAUGUACAAAAAUUUUAUAAAAUGUUAUUUGUCAGAUUGAUGUGGUAUGUGCCUUUCAUAGUGUAUAAAACAACGAUUAUUUAUUUCUGAAAUCUAGAGUAGUUACCGUUUAUUCUGUUCAUUCAUUUAUGUAUUUUUUCUUUUAUAUUUGAACUUUAAUGCUCAAAUAAUAUUAAUGAUCUGAAAAUUGAAUAUGAAUCUCAUUACGUUCAUGUCAGCAUAAUACUUUUGUGAUUGAAUUUCAACUUUUGUUUCAAUUUAUUUAAAAAAUAACGUUGAAUAUUUAACAUCUUCAUUCGAAGAUUUUCAAAUACCUCAAAAUAACAUUCCUCUAUAACUUCGAGUAUUAAAUGGCCGCUUAUUGAACAGUUACCUUUUUAAUUCUGUCUUUUACCAACAUUCCAAUUCAUGUGUACAAAAUAAAAACAUUCAAAGCAAUAGUUUCUCAAGUCAUAAUUUACAUACUGUUGAAUCUUUUUUUAUUUUGUAAGUUAUUCUAAUAUAGAUGUAGACUAAGAAUUUAUUUUAUAAUGGUGUUCAAUGAAUAUCUCAUUACCAUGUUUUUAAUUGAAAAUAAUGCUUGCGAAAUGAUCGAAAAUCAAUUUCAUAAAUUUGAAAUGGAGGAGUAUAUUUUUUGUAGAAAUUACAACUUAGGGUAAUUUCAGUCCUGGGAGGUUUGAACAUAUAAACCAUUUUCCGUGAUUUUGGUUGAAAUUAUUCAAUUUCUACUUAAAACUUAUUUUCAUUUCAAUGAAACAGUGUUUUUUUUAUUUCUCUGGAGUAUAAAAGAUAUGUUAUAAUUUUGAGCAUAUACAAUGAAACUAACAAGUGUCUUAAUUUCAUUAGAAAUAUAUUCUUUCCAAAUUGUAUUAAUCAUAAUUAAGUCAGAUUCUUUUCAAUAAGUAGUUCUAUUUUUUCUAAAUUAUUGAUAAGGUAUAUUAAUUUUAUAAUUACUGCCCACUAUAGAAUUCUUCGAAACUUAGUUUUUUCACUUGUUCAAAUACUUAAAACUGUUUUGUCAGUUGUUUCAUCUACCUCAUUAUCGUAAUUUUUUUAUUUAAGUAUCGUCCUAAUAUUAUUAAUGUUAUCGUUGAUUUAUGUUAUGUCUCAGGGCAUCUUGAUUAGAUGGAUUGUAGCUAAUUUUUCUUUUGCACAAUAUUACUUUUUCAAUUCUGUGAAGUUUGGUAUCCAUCCGAUUACUGAUAUUUGAUUUGUUUGACCCAUAAGUCUGAUUUGUGAGGCUGCUAGUUGAUAUUUUGCGAGCCAACGGACUUUCAUGUUAUUGUUAAUAUGAAAACACCUAAAUUCUCUUUGCAACCCUCUAUAAUUAGUUACUAUUGACUCCUUCUUUUACUGUUCCAUUUUUUAAUUCACUCUCAUGAAAUAAUUUUUUGAAAUAGUUGGCUAAUAGGUUGAUAUUUUACCCAAUGACAUUUUAUACAGUUCGAUGCUACGAACAUAAAUAAUCUGAUGUAAUUCAACACAGACAAAUGCUAUGAUACAUAAUUUUUGCAAAACAAGUACCAUAUUAACAAAUUACACUAAAAUUCAAGAUGCCUGAAUGUAUAUAUUAUUGAAGGUUAUCCCUCUUAUCUACUAAUUUUUUAUUACAAUCAUAAUAGUAACUUCAGAUUUUAUUUUCUAAUUGUUAUUACUGAAGUUGAAAUGAGUAAUUUUAUUAUUAACCUGAAAUGGUGAGAAAAGAUAAUUUGACAGCUCUGAAUACUAGAUUUUUCAUGUUGAUUUCAGGUGCUAUGGUUUCCGAAAUUUUAUGAACUUUUUGCACAAAAAUGGAUAACUGGUUCUAGAAGGUUGCCUUUAUUUAUUGGUUAUAUUUAUUUUUUAGCUUUUCUAAUUUACAAUCUGUUUGGCAAACAUUAUACAAAGAUCUUUAAUAACUUGGCUGUGAGAUUGAGAAAUUAUUUAAUGCAACAUAUCUUACUUUUUCCUGUUUUUCAAGGAAUCAUGCAAUUUUAUAAUCAUAAUAUAAAUGAAUUUUUAUCAUUGACUUUAUUGAUUCACUGCAUCUCUUACUCAAACUUAUUUUAAAUAAUUUUGCUGAUUAUUUGAUUACUGCUUAUAUAACCCCUAUUUUUAUAAAAAUUAUUUAUCUUGCCUUUUCAGUUAUUUGACUAAAGUAUUUCACCCAGGGAAUUAAGAGAUCAAUUGGGGCAUUUGCUAAGAGAAUAUCUAGAAUAUAUUCUAUACAUCUUACUUCAUUUAAGUAUUUAUGAGUUGUUGAAGUAAGUGUUGAUAAGCAUAAAGCUGGCAAAAUGUUGGUCUCUCUUGGAACUAUUGUUAUUAUUUUUCAUUCCUAGGUUUACAUACCUAUCAAUAGAAAGUUUAUUUUAAUUACAAGUACUUUUCUGCGAUAAAAUUUAGAUAUAUCUAAGCAAUACUCUGAAGUAUCUUAUUUCUCUUCUCACUGCCAAAACCUAAAUAUAGUUUUGAACUUGUAGAUCUGUUAUGAAUAAAUAUUUGAAUAAAUUGUGUAAAUGUGUUAAUAUAUUUUUGUACGCUUGAAUGAUUGGGUAAUAAAACGUAUUUUAAAAAAUAAAUAUUGAUUAAAG
Molecule: long non-coding RNA, 4506 nt
Filed under: Leptinotarsa decemlineata (Colorado potato beetle)
Lineage: Eukaryota; Metazoa; Arthropoda; Insecta; Coleoptera; Chrysomelidae
Description: uncharacterized LOC111505698
Source: RNAcentral